GGGGUUAUAGCUCAGUGGCAGAGCAUUUGCUUUGCACGCAAAAUGUCCCAAGUUAAUUUCUUUACAGCUCAA
This 72-nucleotide transfer RNA is filed under the name Sphaerodactylus townsendi. RNAcentral's name for it is "tRNA-Ala". The stretch from base 1 to 61 matches the Rfam family "tRNA". Rfam says of the family: Transfer RNA (tRNA) molecules are approximately 80 nucleotides in length. Their secondary structure includes four short double-helical elements and three loops (D, anti-codon, and T loops). Further hydrogen bonds mediate the characteristic L-shaped molecular structure. tRNAs have two regions of fundamental functional importance: the anti-codon, which is responsible for specific mRNA codon recognition, and the 3' end, to which the tRNAs corresponding amino acid is attached (by aminoacyl-tRNA synthetases). tRNAs cope with the degeneracy of the genetic code in two manners: having more than one tRNA (with a specific anti-codon) for a particular amino acid; and 'wobble' base-pairing, i.e. permitting non-standard base-pairing at the 3rd anti-codon position. The record is from RNAcentral. Lineage: Eukaryota; Metazoa; Chordata; Lepidosauria; Squamata; Sphaerodactylidae.